UCUAAAAUGAGUGGUGCUGAU
This 21-nucleotide microRNA is filed under the name Zea mays. RNAcentral describes it as "miRt25b". Lineage: Eukaryota; Viridiplantae; Streptophyta; Magnoliopsida; Poales; Poaceae. The record is from RNAcentral.